AAUAUUGGACAAUGGGGGCAACCCUGAUCCAGCCAUGCCGCGUGUGUGAAGAAGGCCUUCGGGUUGUAAAGCACUUUAAGUUGGGAGGAAAGGCUGUGGGCUAAUACCCUGCAGUUUUGACGUUACCAACAGAAUAAGCACCGGCUAACUCUGUGCCAGCAGCCGCGGUAAUACAGAGGGUGCAAGCGUUAAUCGGAAUUACUGGGCGUAAAGCGCGCGUAGGCGGUUAAGUAAGUCAGAUGUGAAAUCCCCGGGCUUAACCUGGGAAUUGCAUUGGAGACUGGAUGGCUAGAGUAUGGUAGAGGGUAGUGGAAUUUCAGGUGUAGCGGUGAAAUGCGUAGAUAUCUGAAGGAACAUCAGUGGCGAAGGCGACUCACUGGACUAUUACUGACGCUGAGGUGCGAAAGCGUGGGGAGCAAACAG
Molecule: ribosomal RNA, 423 nt
Filed under: uncultured bacterium
Lineage: Bacteria
Description: partial 16S ribosomal RNA
Rfam family: Bacterial small subunit ribosomal RNA
Source: RNAcentral